RNAcentral lists this ribosomal RNA (531 nucleotides) under Triticum aestivum (bread wheat). RNAcentral's name for it is "partial small subunit ribosomal RNA". The record is from RNAcentral. Lineage: Eukaryota; Viridiplantae; Streptophyta; Magnoliopsida; Poales; Poaceae.
AUGAAUUGCCUCAGCUGGAACUGUCGCGGGCUUGGGAACCCAGCGACAGUUCGCGAGCUUCGCAGUGUGGUGAAGCAAGAAGGGCCCGGUCUUUUAUUUCUGAUGGAGACUAAAAUUGCGGCGAAGAGGGUACAAAGUCUGCAAAAUCUUCUGGGAUUUGCGGGCUGUUUUGAAGUUGAUAGCGAUGGUUUAAGUGGGGGCAUUGGUCUAUUCUGGACAAAUGAUGUUCAGGUGGAUCUUCAGAGUUUCAGUUCGGGGCACAUAGACGUGAUGGUGCAGAAUAAUAAUUUGCACCGGAAUAAAUGGAGAUUUACAGGUUUUUAUGGGGCCCCUCAUGUUUCGGACAAACACCACAGUUGGAGAUGUUUGCAGACUUUGUUUUCUAUCCAACACCAGGCGUGGUUAUGUGUAGGGGAUUUUAAUGAAACAUUGUAUGCCACGGAACAUUUUUCGCUGGCUGCCCGGCCUGAAUGGCAAAUGCGUGCGUUCCGUGAGGUAGCUGAUGAUUGCUUGUUCCAAGACAUGGGAUGA